Molecule: ribosomal RNA, 239 nt
Filed under: uncultured bacterium
Lineage: Bacteria
Description: partial 16S ribosomal RNA
Rfam family: Bacterial small subunit ribosomal RNA
Source: RNAcentral
CCGGCACGGGUGAGUAACACGUAUCCAACCUGCCGUCUACUCUUGGCCAGCCUUCUGAAAGGAAGAUUAAUCCAGGAUGGCAUCAUGAGUUCACAUGUCCGCAUGAUUAAAGGUAUUUUCCGGUAGACGAUGGGGAUGCGUUCCAUUAGAUAGUAGGCGGGGUAACGGCCCACCUAGUCAACGAUGGAUAGGGGUUCUGAGAGGAAGGUCCCCCACAUUGAAACUGAGACACGGUCCAA